CAGUCGCCGCGGGAAUACGUAGGUGGCAAGCGUUGUCCGGAUUUAUUGGGCGUAAAGCGAGCGCAGGCGGUUUCUUAAGUCUGAUGUGAAAGCCCCCGGCUCAACCGGGGAGGGUCAUUGGAAACUGGGAGACUUGAGUGCAGAAGAGGAGAGUGGAAUUCCAUGUGUAGCGGUGAAAUGCGUAGAUAUAUGGAGGAACACCAGUGGCGAAGGCGGCUCUCUGGUCUGUAACUGACGCUGAGGCUCGAAAGCGUGGGGAGCGAACAGGAUUAGAUACCCGUGUAGUCCCUGUCUCUUAUAC
This 301-nucleotide ribosomal RNA is filed under the name uncultured bacterium. Its description in RNAcentral is "partial 16S ribosomal RNA". It matches the Rfam family "Bacterial small subunit ribosomal RNA", at positions 509 to 807 of the family's 1533-position model. The record is from RNAcentral.